CCUACGGGGGGCUGCAGUGGGGGAUAUUGCACAAUGGGGGGAACCCUGAUGCAGCGACGCCGCGUGAGCGAUGAAGUAUUUCGGUAUGUAAAGCUCUAUCAGCAGGGAAGAAAAUGACGUUACCUGACUAACAAGCCACGGCUAACUACGGGCCAGCAGCCGCGGUAAUACGUAGGGGGCAAGCGUUAUCCGGAUUUACUGGGUGUAAAGGGAGCGUAGACGGCUGUGCAAGUCUGGAGUGAAAGGCAAGGGCUCAACCUUUGGACUGCUUUGGAAACUGUGCAGCUAGAGUGUGGGAGAGGCAAGUGGAAUUCGUGGUGUAGCGGUGAAAUGCGUAGAUAUUAGGAGGAACACCAGUGGCGAAGGCGGCUUGCUGGACGAUGACUGACGUUGAGGCUCGAAAGCGUGGGGAGCAAACAGGAUUAGAUACCCCAGUAGUC
This 440-nucleotide ribosomal RNA is filed under the name uncultured bacterium. Its description in RNAcentral is "partial 16S ribosomal RNA". It matches the Rfam family "Bacterial small subunit ribosomal RNA", at positions 338 to 795 of the family's 1533-position model. The record is from RNAcentral.